GAUGAACGCUGGCGGCGUGCCUAAUACAUGCAAGUCGAGCGAACAGACGAGGAGCUUGCUCCUCUGACGUUAGCGGCGGACGGGUGAGUAACACGUGGAUAACCUACCUAUAAGACUGGGAUAACUUCGGGAAACCGGAGCUAAUACCGGAUAAUAUAUUGAACCGCAUGGUUCAAUAGUGAAAGACGGUUUUGCUGUACCUUAUAGAUGGAUCCGCGCCGCAUUAGCUAGUUGGUAAGGUAACGGCUUACCAAGGCAACGAUGCGUAGCCGACCUGAAGGGGUGAUCGGCCACACUGGAACGGAGAAACGGUCCAGACUCCUACGGGAGGCAGCAGUGGGGAAUCUUCCGCAAUGGGCGAAAGCCUGACGGAGCAACGCCGCGUGAGUGAUGAAGGUCUUCGGAUCGUAAAACUCUGUUAUUAGGGAAGAACAUAUGUGUAAGUAACUGUGCACAUCUUGACGGUACCUAAUCAGAAAGCCACGGCUAACUACGUG
Molecule: ribosomal RNA, 497 nt
Filed under: uncultured bacterium
Lineage: Bacteria
Description: partial 16S ribosomal RNA
Rfam family: Bacterial small subunit ribosomal RNA
Source: RNAcentral